RNAcentral lists this ribosomal RNA (229 nucleotides) under uncultured bacterium. RNAcentral describes it as "partial 16S ribosomal RNA". It matches the Rfam family "Bacterial small subunit ribosomal RNA", at positions 568 to 796 of the family's 1533-position model. The record is from RNAcentral.
UGCGUAGGCGGAAGAUUAAGUCAGUGAUGAAAUCCUGCAGCUCAACUGUAGAACUGUCAUUGAUACUGAUUUUCUUGAAUACAGUUGAGGUAGGCGGAAUAUGUAAUGUAGCGGUGAAAUGCUUAGAUAUUACAUAGAACACCAAUUGCGAAGGCAGCUUACUAAACUGUGAUUGACGCUGAGGCACGAAAGCGUGGGGAGCGAACUGGAUUAGAUACCCUGGUAGUCC